This is an RNA transcript of Sorghum bicolor (sorghum), 961 nucleotides long. RefSeq lists it as uncharacterized. The transcript has 5 exons. NCBI's taxonomy places the organism in Eukaryota, Viridiplantae, Streptophyta, Magnoliopsida, Poales, Poaceae. The record is from RefSeq and is a predicted model, not a curated record.
UAUUUGGUUCAACUCAUAGCUUUUGCAUCCGUCGAUCCACCAAAUCCAUCUAUUGCUGUUGCUCUCGGUCUCUCCGGCUCCUCCAUUCUACCUUCUUCCAGAGAUGGUACAGCAAUGCGGAGGUCAGCGACAAGCUGCGGCGGCAUGUGAAGGCGGCCUCCCCGAAUGCAGAUGCAGCAUGAGCUUCGCAAGGAUUUGGACACUGCUGGAUUCAUACCUUGCCUCCACUGCACCUCCUUCACCACCGAUCUGAACCCCACCCGGUCGCCCAGCCACCUAAACCGUGAAUCCAGAUGGCCCUGUUGGUGCCUGUUGCUUGAUGAGGUUCAUGGAUUCAGCUUCGACAGCGUUGUUGGCGACUUGCGUCAAUGGUUUCUUGUUUGACAAAAUAGGAUCUGGGCUUUGUGAACCUGAUGAGGAUGACACUGGAAUAGAGAUUGUCAUAACAUUUCUUCUUCCUUCUCGGCUCAGUCUGCCUAGGUGCAUUUACACACAAGUGGCUGGGAAUUGCACAAUCCUAUCGAUUUUAGAGUGAGACACAGCAUGCAUGCGUUACCCACCUCCAUGCAGGUCGGAAAUUUCUGUACAUUCCUAUAGUAGUACCAUUAAGGUAAAGGCUUCCACCUCACAUCAAAAGCCAACAGACGUGAUAUUCUGACCACUGAUGCAGUGCUCCCUUCAACUGAUGGUCCUCCAUAGCUUAGCUUAUCCGUGGCGAAAUCCACCAGACAUGUAAGCAGACAUGAGAUAUAUAGGGAAGUCUUUUGUAUAUGUGCAAUCACCUAAGCGUUUGGUGAUAAAGGAACCUCUGGCUAAAUAAUCAAUUGGAUAUCAUUGUGAACAUAACAUGGUUGCAAACCAUGAGCCUUUUUUCCCCAUAUUAUGAACCGCUUUAGUGCUUUGGAUGGAUUUGUACCAGUAUUUUAAACUGUUGAGGUAACGAUAAAUUCUGAUGUUGGCA